This is a non-coding RNA of Populus tomentosa, 73 nucleotides long. NCBI's taxonomy places the organism in Eukaryota, Viridiplantae, Streptophyta, Magnoliopsida, Malpighiales, Salicaceae. The record is from the annotation of a GenBank genome assembly.
ACGACAUUAGCUCAGUGGGUAAAGCGGAGGACGGUGGAUCCUUAGGUUGCUGUUCGAAUCCCCGCCGGUCGGA